AAUCAACGCUGGCGGCGUGCCUCAGACAUGCAAGUCGAACGACUAAAGCUCUCUUCGGAGAGUGUAUAGAGUGGCGCACGGGUGAGUAACACGUAAGUAAUCUACCCUCGAGUGGGGAAUAACAACCGGAAACGGUUGCUAAUACCGCAUAAUGCAGCGGCACCGCAAGGUGACAGUUGUUAAAGAUUUAUCGCUUGAGGAGGAGCUUGCGGCAGAUUAGCUAGUUGGUAGGGUAACGGCUUACCAAGGCUACGAUCUGUAACCGGUCUAAGAGGACGGUCGGUCACACUGACACUGAAUAACGGGUCAGACUCCUACGGGAGGCAGCAGUCGGGAAUUUUGGGCAAUGGGCGAAAGCCUGACCCAGCAACGCCGCGUGAAGGAUGAAGUAUUUCGGUAUGUAAACUUCGAAAGAAUAGGAAGAAUUAAUGACGGUACUAUUUAUAAGGUCCGGCUAACUACGUG
Molecule: ribosomal RNA, 465 nt
Filed under: uncultured bacterium
Lineage: Bacteria
Description: bacterial SSU rRNA
Rfam family: Bacterial small subunit ribosomal RNA
Source: RNAcentral